AUAUCGGUUUUUUUAGAAACCAUUCUUUUUUGCUUGUAAAGCGAUGU
Non-coding RNA from Rhodnius prolixus, 47 nucleotides. The record is from Rfam. Lineage: Eukaryota; Metazoa; Arthropoda; Insecta; Hemiptera; Reduviidae.